AGUCGAACGUGAUCCAGGCUUCGGUCUGGUGAAAGUGGCAGACGGGUGAGUAACGCGUGGGAACCUGCCCUGUGGUAGGGAAUAACCGCGGGAAACUGCGGCUAAUACCCUAUGAGUCCUUCGGGAGAAAGAUUUAUCGCCAUAGGAGGGGCCCGCGUCGGAUUAGGUAGUUGGUGGGGUAACGGCCUACCAAGCCUUCGAUCCGUAGCUGGUCUGAGAGGAUGAUCAGCCACACUGGGACUGAGAUACGGCCCAGACUCCUACGGGAGGCAGCAGUGGGGAAUAUUGGACAAUGGGGGCAACCCUGAUCCAGCAAUGCCGCGUGGGUGAUGAAGGCCUUCGGGUUGUAAAGCCCUUUCGGCGGGGAAGAUGAUGACGGUACCCGCAGAAGAAGCCCCGGCUAACUUCGUGCCAGCAGCCGCGGUAAUACGAAGGGGGCUAGCGUUGUUCGGAAUUACUGGGCGUAAAGGGCGCGUAGGCUGUGCUGUAAGUCAGGCGUGAAAGGCCCGGGCUCAACCUGGGAAUGGCGCUUGAUACUGCGGCGCUGGAAGGCAGGAGAGGAUGGCGGAAUUCCCAGUGUAGAGGUGAAAUUCGUAGAUAUUGGGAAGAACACCGGUGGCGAAGGCGGCCAUCUGGCCUGCAAUUGACGCUGAGGCGCG
Molecule: ribosomal RNA, 659 nt
Filed under: uncultured Alphaproteobacteria bacterium
Lineage: Bacteria; Pseudomonadati; Pseudomonadota; Alphaproteobacteria
Description: bacterial SSU rRNA
Rfam family: Bacterial small subunit ribosomal RNA
Source: RNAcentral